AUUGAACGCUGGCGGCAGGCCUAACACAUGCAAGUCGAACGGUAACAGGAAACAGCUUGCUGUUUCGCUGACGAGUGGCGGACGGGUGAGUAAUGUCUGGGAAACUGCCUGAUGGAGGGGGAUAACUACUGGAAACGGUAGCUAAUACCGCAUAACGUCGCAAGACCAAAGAGGGGGACCCUCGGGCCUCGUGCCAUCGGAUGUGCCCAGAUGGGAUUAGCUUGUUGGUGGGGUAACGGCUCACCAAGGCGACGAUCCCUAGCUGGUCUGAGAGGAUGACCAGCCACACUGGAACUGAGACACGGUCCAGACUCCUACGGGAGGCAGCAGUGGGAAUAUUGCACAAUGGGCGCAAGCCUGAUGCAGCCAUGCCGCGUGUAUGAAGAAGGCCUUCGGGUUGUAAAGUACUUUCAGCGGGGAGGAAGGGAGUAAAGUUAAUACCUUUGCUCAUUGACGUUACCCGCAGAAGAAGCACCGGCUAACUCCGUGCCAGCCGCCGCAGUAA
RNAcentral lists this ribosomal RNA (505 nucleotides) under uncultured bacterium. Its description in RNAcentral is "partial 16S ribosomal RNA". It matches the Rfam family "Bacterial small subunit ribosomal RNA", at positions 30 to 523 of the family's 1533-position model. The record is from RNAcentral.